Molecule: ribosomal RNA, 463 nt
Filed under: uncultured bacterium
Lineage: Bacteria
Description: partial 16S ribosomal RNA
Rfam family: Bacterial small subunit ribosomal RNA
Source: RNAcentral
GACGAACGCUGGCGGCGUGCUAAACACAUGCAAGUCGAGCGGAAAGGCCACUUCGGUGGUACUCGAGCGGCGAACGGGUGAGUAACACGUGAGUAAUCUGCCCCUCACUUUGGGAUAGCCACCGGAAACGGUGAUUAAUACCGGAUAUGACCAUAUGUCGCAUGGCGUGUGGUGGAAAGUUUUUCGGUGAGGGAUGUGCUCGCGGCCUAUCAGCUUGAUGGUGAGGUAAUGGCUCACCAUGGCUUCGACGGGUAGCCGGCCUGAGAGGGUGACCGGUCACACUGGGACUGAGACACGGCCCAGACUCCUACGGGAGGCAGCAGUGGGGAAUAUUGGACAAUGGGCGGAAGCCUGAUCCAGCAACGCCGCGUGAGGGAUGACGGCCUUCGGGUUGUAAACCUCUUUCAGUACCGACGAAGCGCAAGUGACGGUAGGUACAGAAGAAGCACCGGCCAACUACGUG